Cyphomyrmex costatus is the source of this 133-nucleotide non-coding RNA. The record is from Rfam. NCBI's taxonomy places the organism in Eukaryota, Metazoa, Arthropoda, Insecta, Hymenoptera, Formicidae.
CGGAGGGGUUUUAGUUGGUAGGCGCCGGUCGGUUAGGACGGCCGCGGUUUCGGCCGACGGUCACUGCCAGCCGGUGAAUCCAACACUACCCGGGGGCGGUUCCCCCGGGUGUCUUUGGAAGAUUUCCCCUUCG